CAUGGUCUGCAUAUUAAUUUAUUGAAUGCGGAAGAACACAGACAUAACACAGGGAACUCAUUUUUGUGUUAAAGGAAGCACAAUGUUCCAGUACUCGGGGAAGUAUCAAUGCUGUUUAAAUCCCUACGUAAUCUGAUCCAGGUAGGAGUUCAUCCUGCUACUGACGCGUGGGACCUCACAUGUGAACCAGUGCCAGAAUGGGAAUGCAUGGUCGAUGUUCUGCAGCAGGCCAUAUAAAUAUCCCUAGGUGGAACGAAGAAAUUAUGGCUGGUCAGGGCAUGAUCUCCCAACAUCUCCUGUCCAUCACUGCAUUGGCACUGCAGAGUCGACAGGAAUUCCAGUGCGUAGCCCACCAGUUCCAGACUGCUGAGAAUGACUGCAAGGUGUACUUCACCAUAUUGGAGGGAUUUGCUGAAAGUGGACAUUGAAGGGACCAAAAUCCUGGCCCCCUGUCUGACAGAGGCAGCCAACCAAAUUGUACAGAUUGUUAGUAAUCAAAAGGGGGGAUUUGGUAAAUUUUGCCAAACAGGGGCACUUUGCAUUGUGUAGGCAAAAAGGGCAGGUGCUCAGGCAGCCCCCCCCCCCCCCGCCAUGUAGAUCAUGUCAUUAAAAUUAUUAAUGUAGGUGGGGUUUCAUGUAAUUGUUUCCCAGGUGCACCUGUUCUGGAUAUAAAUACACUGCUUCCAUCACUAAUGGAGAUCUGGCCGGUGGAUUUAUUACACAACUAAUGACGCUGUGUUGUACUGUCUUAAAGAAUGAUGUCAAAAUGUGAAUGAGCACAGCAAAUUAGCUGAAUGUUUUGAGUGCCAUGUAUCAGCUUACCGGUGAUGAUUUUUAGUUGCCUUUUUGUAUUGACGGUAUUGAUGAAGAACUGGUGUCUUCCAGGCAGUGUUCCUUUUAUUGGCAACGUCAACACAUUCUGGCUAAGUUCUGUGUUUCUGGUGUCCACACUGUCAGAGCUCUCUUUGUGUUAGGUGAAAAUAUUACGACCUGUAUUUGACUUGAAAAUGAUAAUUCAUCCAAAAUAGACUGUUACCCUUGUGUUUCAAUGGUAAUGAUCUAUUGUGAGACAACCAAUACUGUAUACUCACUGUAUUUAUAGAGGAAAACACAGGGAGGAAACUAUCAAAUUUGAAUAAUAUCACUGUCAAUAAGUCCAGUCUGGUAAAAGAAUAAAACAAUAAACAAUCUUAAAAAUC
This is a long non-coding RNA of Paramormyrops kingsleyae, 1199 nucleotides long. RefSeq lists it as uncharacterized. The record is from RefSeq and is a predicted model, not a curated record. Lineage: Eukaryota; Metazoa; Chordata; Actinopteri; Osteoglossiformes; Mormyridae.